RNAcentral lists this small RNA (520 nucleotides) under Vigna angularis var. angularis. RNAcentral's name for it is "Non-protein coding transcript". Lineage: Eukaryota; Viridiplantae; Streptophyta; Magnoliopsida; Fabales; Fabaceae. The record is from RNAcentral.
CGACUAUUCAACUAUUAAUUAUAUCCGUGAGUUCACUUCAUCACAGGAGAUUGGGGACGUAGGAAAUGAGAGCAUUAAAUCUUUAUCCACUAGAUUUGAAGACAUUUGGAAUACAUUGGCAUCCAAGGUAGUUGAACAAGAUGAUAAGAUGAAUGAAGGCGAGCCAGGAAUAAUGGAAGGCCAAGGAAUCCAAGUACAAGAAGGGUUGAACCUUUUGCAUAAACAAGAGGGAAUAUAUGUUGUUCCUAACAACAACAUUGACAUUUCUUCAGCUUCUGCAGAUAUCCGUACAAGAUUGGAAGCAUAUAAACAUUUUGUUGAUCUGGAUGAUGCACAGCUUUCUCUUCUGGUGGAGGCAAUAACAACAUAUCCUCAUCUCUGGAAUGCUUCCAAGAAGUUUAGUGAGCGCUUUCAAGCUUGGAGGUUGAAAAUUUUGGCAGAUAUGUUGCUGUUCCUUCAGAAGGAAAGUGACGAUAGUGUUAUUCCUCAAAGAGAAAAAGUGUUCGAUAAACUAUGUGAA